GCUAACGUCCGUCGUGAAGAGGGAAACAACCCAGACCGCCAGCUAAGGUCCCAAAGUCAUGGUUAAGUGGGAAACGAUGUGGGAAGGCCCAGACAGCCAGGAUGUUGGCUUAGAAGCAGCCAUCAUUAAAGAAAGCGUAAUAGCUCACUGGUCGAGUCGGCCUGCGCGGAAGAUGUAACGGGGCUAAACCAUGCACCGAAGCUGCGGCAGCGACGCUGAUGCGUUGUUGGGUAGGGGAGCGUUCUGUAAGCC
This 252-nucleotide ribosomal RNA is filed under the name Escherichia coli. Its description in RNAcentral is "partial 23S ribosomal RNA". It matches the Rfam family "Bacterial large subunit ribosomal RNA", at positions 997 to 1249 of the family's 2925-position model. The record is from RNAcentral. Lineage: Bacteria; Pseudomonadati; Pseudomonadota; Gammaproteobacteria; Enterobacterales; Enterobacteriaceae.